AAGAGGUUUCACACAUACAAAU
RNAcentral lists this microRNA (22 nucleotides) under Salmo salar (Atlantic salmon). RNAcentral's name for it is "ssa-miR-8158-5p". Lineage: Eukaryota; Metazoa; Chordata; Actinopteri; Salmoniformes; Salmonidae. The record is from miRBase by way of RNAcentral.